GUAUCUAUGGCGAAGUGGCAACGCUCUAGUCUGCAAAACUAGCAUUCGUGGGUUCGAAUCCCACUAGAUACUUA
Molecule: transfer RNA, 74 nt
Filed under: Caudoviricetes sp.
Lineage: Duplodnaviria; Heunggongvirae; Uroviricota; Caudoviricetes
Description: tRNA-Cys
Rfam family: tRNA
About the family: Transfer RNA (tRNA) molecules are approximately 80 nucleotides in length. Their secondary structure includes four short double-helical elements and three loops (D, anti-codon, and T loops).
Source: RNAcentral